This 461-nucleotide ribosomal RNA is filed under the name uncultured Glomus. Its description in RNAcentral is "SSU rRNA". It matches the Rfam family "Eukaryotic small subunit ribosomal RNA", at positions 569 to 1040 of the family's 1831-position model. The record is from RNAcentral. Lineage: Eukaryota; Fungi; Glomeromycota; Glomeromycetes; Glomerales; Glomeraceae.
AGCAGCCGCGGUAAUUCCAGCUCCAAUAGCGUAUAUUAAAGUUGUUGCAGUUAAAAAGCUCGUAGUUGAAUUUCGGGGUUAGUAGAUUGGUCAUGCCUCUGGUAUGUACUGGUCUCACUGAUUCCUCCUUCCUGAUGAGCCGUAAUGCCAUUAAUUUGGUGUUGCGAGGAAUCUGGACUGUUACUUUGAAAAAAUUGAGUGUUUAAAGCAGGCUAACGCUUGAAUACAUUAGCAUGGAAUAAUGAAAUAGGACGUUCGAUCCUAUUUUGUUGGUUCUAGGAUUGACGUAAUGAUUAAUAGGGAUAGUUGGGGGCAUUAGUAUUCAAUUGUCAGAGGUGAAAUUCUUGGAUUUAUUGAAGACUAACUACUGCGAAAGCAUUUGCCAAGGAUGUUUCAUUAUCAAGAACGAAGUUAGGGAUCGAAGACGAUCAGACUACCGUCGUAGUCUAACCAUAAACUAU